AGUGAACGCUGGCGGUAGGCCUAACACAUGCAAGUCGAACGGCAGCACAGUAAGAGCUUGCUCUUACGGGUGGCGAGUGGCGGACGGGUGAGGAAUACAUCGGAAUCUACUUUUUCGUGGGGGAUAACGUAGGGAAACCUACGCUAAUACCGCAUACGACCUACGGGUGUAAGCAGGUGAUCUUCGUAUCUUGCGCGAAUGAAUGAGCCGAUGUCGGAUUAGCUAGUUGGCGGGGUAAAGGCCCACCAAGGCGACGAUCCGUAGCUGGUCUGAGAGGAUGAUCAGCCACACUGGAACUGAGACACGGUCCAGACUCCUACGGGAGGCAGCAGUGGGGAAUAUUGGACAAUGGGCGCAAGCCUGAUCCAGCCAUACCACGUGGGGGAAGAAGGCCUUCGGGUUGUAAAGCCCUUUUGUUGGGAAAGAAAAGCAGCAGGUUAAUAAACCGCUGUUCUGACGGUACCCAAAGAAUAAGCCCCGGCUAACUUCGUG
Molecule: ribosomal RNA, 492 nt
Filed under: uncultured bacterium
Lineage: Bacteria
Description: partial 16S ribosomal RNA
Rfam family: Bacterial small subunit ribosomal RNA
Source: RNAcentral